GGCUCGGUAGCGAACGGUUCGUAUCCCCACAGGCUGAAGGCUUGAGAGCUAUGUCAUGGUCCGGGGAAGUUGCCUGUUCGAUUCAGGCCCGAGUCA
Mycena polygramma is the source of this 96-nucleotide non-coding RNA. The record is from the annotation of a GenBank genome assembly. NCBI's taxonomy places the organism in Eukaryota, Fungi, Basidiomycota, Agaricomycetes, Agaricales, Mycenaceae.